This is a long non-coding RNA of Oncorhynchus tshawytscha (Chinook salmon), 817 nucleotides long. NCBI's taxonomy places the organism in Eukaryota, Metazoa, Chordata, Actinopteri, Salmoniformes, Salmonidae. The record is from Ensembl.
GCAGAAGUUUGGAGAGAGACAAAAUGGAGCAUCAUUUCCAAACGUGCUGCUAUUGAAUUCAGAUCACCCCGUGAUCAAUUUGAUCAAUUAUUAACUUAUUAACGUUUACUAAUACCUAAAGUUGGAUUACAAAAGUAGUUUGAAGUGUUUCGUCAAAGUUUAUAGGCAACUUUUUCCAUGGAUCAGACGGGCUUCAUAAAUGGACAUUUUGGGUAUACAUGGACGGAUUUAAUCGAAAAAAAUACCCAAUUGUGAUGUUUAUGGGACAUAUAGGAGUGCCAACAAAGAAGCUCGUCAAAGGGACAGCAGCCGUAAAACAAAACAAAGGAGCUGAUUUGUGCACUUCAGAAGACAACAGAGGACGGAACUGCCGCAUUGGAGAUGGUGAAAAGCUUCAAGUUCCUCGGAGUACAGAUCACUGACAUUCUGAAAUGGUCCACACACACAGACAGUGUAGUGAAGAAGGUGCAACAGCACCUCUUCCACCUCAGGAGGCUGACGAAAUUUGUCUUGGCCCCGAAGAACCUCACAAAUGUUUACAGAUGCACAAUUAAAAGCAUCCAGUUGGGCUGUAUCGCCGCGUGGUACAGCAACUGCACCGCCCGCAACCAAAGGGCUCUCCAAGGGGUGGUGCGGUCUGCCCAGCGCAUCACUGGGGGCACACUGCUUGCCCUCCAGGACACCUAUAGCACCCAAUUCACAGGAAGUCCAAAAAGAUCAUCAAGGCCACCCGUGCCACAGCCUGUUCACCCCACUAUCAUUCAGAAGGCGAGGGAUCAUCUCUACCAUAUCUUUAUCCAACGUCUGUGAGCUAAAG